RNAcentral lists this ribosomal RNA (376 nucleotides) under uncultured bacterium. RNAcentral describes it as "bacterial SSU rRNA". It matches the Rfam family "Bacterial small subunit ribosomal RNA", at positions 524 to 898 of the family's 1533-position model. The record is from RNAcentral.
UACGUAAGGGGCGAGCGUUGUUCGGAAUUAUUGGGCGUAAAGGGCGCGUAGGCGGCUUGAUAAGUCAGUCGUGAAAGCCCGGGGCUCAACCCCGGAAGUGCGAUUGAAACUAUUUGGCUUGAGUAUGGUAGAGGGAAGUGGAAUUCCAGGUGUAGCGGUGAAAUGCGUAGAUAUCUGGAGGAACACCGGUGGCGAAGGCGACUUCCUGGACCAAUACUGACGCUGAUGCGCGAAGGUGUGGGUAGCAAACAGGAUUAGAUACCCUGGUAGUCCACACAGUAAACGGUGAUCACUAGGUGUUGCGGGUAUUGACCCCUGCAGUGCCGGAGCUAACGCAUUAAGUGAUCCGCCUGGGGAGUACGGUCGCAAGAUUAAA